GGCUCAGGACGAACGCUGGCGGCGUGCCUAACACAUGCAAGUCGAGCGAGGAGAUCCUCGGGAUGAUCCUAGCGGCGGACGGGUGAGUAACACGUGGGCAACCUGCCUCAUAGAGAGGAAUAGCCUUCCGAAAGGGAGAUUAAUACCUCAUAACAUUGCAGUUUCGCAUGGAACAGCAAUUAAAGGAGUAAUCCGCUAUGAGAUGGGCCCCGCGGCGCAUUAGCUAGUUGGUGAGGUAACGGCUCACCAAGGCGACGAUGCGUAGCCGACCUGAGAGGGUGAUCGGCCACAUUGGGACUGAGACACGGCCCAGACUCCUACGGGAGGCAGCAGUGGGGAAUAUUGCACAAUGGGGGAAACCCUGAUGCAAGCAACGCCGCGUGAGUGAUGACGGCCUUCGGGUUGUAAAGCUCUGUCUUCAGGGACGAUAAUGACGGUACCUGAGGAGGAAGCCACGGCUAACUACGUGCCAGCAGCGGC
RNAcentral lists this ribosomal RNA (480 nucleotides) under uncultured bacterium. RNAcentral's name for it is "bacterial SSU rRNA". It matches the Rfam family "Bacterial small subunit ribosomal RNA", at positions 21 to 518 of the family's 1533-position model. The record is from RNAcentral.